RNAcentral lists this unclassified non-coding RNA (348 nucleotides) under soil metagenome. RNAcentral describes it as "partial contains 5.8S ribosomal RNA, internal transcribed spacer 2, and large subunit ribosomal RNA". The stretch from base 1 to 120 matches the Rfam family "5.8S ribosomal RNA", at positions 35 to 154 of the family's 154-position model. The record is from RNAcentral.
GAUGAAGAACGUAGCGAAAUGCGAUAAGUAAUGUGAAUUGCAGAAUUCAGUGAAUCAUCGAAUUUUUGAACGCACAUUGCGCCCGCCAGUAUUCUGGCGGGCAUGCCUGUCUGAGCGUCAUUUCAACCCUCAUGCCCCUAGGGCGUGGUGUUGGGGAUCGGCCAAAGCCCGCGAGGGACGGCCGGCCCCUAAAUCUAGUGGCGGACCCGUCGUGGCCUCCUCUGCGAAGUAGUGAUAUUCCGCAUCGGAGAGCGAUGAGCCCCUGCCGUUAAACCCCCAACUUUCCAAGGUUGACCUCAGAUCAGGUAGGAAUACCCGCUGAACUUAAGCAUAUCAAUAAGCGGAGGA